GCGCAGUAAGGGGAAUCUGGAUAACUUUGCUGAUCGUAUGGCCAUGUGCCGACGACGUUUCAAUUGAGUUUCUGCCCUAUCAACUUGUUGGUAAGGUAUUGGCUUACCAAGGUUGCAACGGGUAACGGGGAAUCAGGGUUCGAUUCCGGAGAGGGAGCCUGAGAAACGGCUACCACAUCCAAGGAAGGCAACAGGCGCGAAAAUUACCCAAUCUAGACAGUAGGAGGUGGUGAAGAGAAUUACUAGGUGGCGACUCAAUGAGUUGCCAGUUUGGAAUGAACGUAACUCAAGAAAUUCGAUGAGAAACAACUGGAGGGCAAGUCCUGGUGCCAGCAGCCGCGGUAAUUCCAGCUCCAGUAGUCUGCGCUAAAGUUGUUGCGUUUAAAACGCUCGUAGUUGGAUCACGCAGCUGUGCUCAGUAAUCUGAGUCGGCUGGCCACUCGACGCCGUUUCGACGAAAUCUUGUGCCACCGGUCAGAUGCAACGCUGAGCACUGCUAGUUGCACGUGAGAUGAAUUGUUGGCCUUGAAUGCGCCGGUAUUCUCGUCUUGCGGAGUGUGCCUUGAAUAAAACAGAGUGCUUAAAGCAGGUCAUUGCCUGAAUGUUAUAGCAUGGAACGAACAAUCGUGUAUUAGCGUGAGUCKCAGUUUGGUAGCGAGCCUCGGGUUUGUUGUCAGACUAGUCGCACGCGGCACCCACCAAAUAUGGCUGUUGGUUCCCAUAUACGGUGAUGAUUAACAGGAGCGGUUGGGGGCAUCAGUAUUUGAUCGCGAGAGGUGAAAUUCUUAGACCGAUCAAGGACUAACAAAUGCAAAGGCACUUGUCUAGACCGUUUCCAUUAAUCAAGAACGAAAGUGGGAGGUUCGAAGAUGAUCAGAUACCAUCGUAGUUCCCACUGUAAACUAUGCCGACCUGGGAUUAGUUUACAGAUGUUACAAGCUGUAAAUUAGUCCCCCUGGGAAACCUCAAGUUUUUCGGUUACGGGGAGAGUAUGGUCGCAAGGCUGAAACUUAAAGGAAUUGACGGAAGGGCACCACCAGGGGUGGAGCCUGCGGCUUAAUUUGACUCAACACGGGGAAACUUACCUGGUCCGGACAUCGAUAGGAUUAACAGAUCGAUAGCUCUUUUAUGAUGCGAUGAGUGGUGGUGCAUGGCCGUUCUUAGUUCGUGGAGUGAUCUGUCGGCCUAAUCGCGAUAACAGAACGAGACCACAAUCUCCAUUUAAGAGAUAGGAGAAGGCGUGCGUCGGCGUGGAGUCNCAAGAUUUUACG
This 1271-nucleotide ribosomal RNA is filed under the name Thelohanellus nikolskii. RNAcentral describes it as "SSU rRNA". Lineage: Eukaryota; Metazoa; Cnidaria; Myxozoa; Bivalvulida; Myxobolidae. The record is from RNAcentral.